GACGAACGCUGGCGGCGUGCUUAACACAUGCAAGUCGAACGAUGAAGCCAGCUUGCUGGUGGAUUAGUGGCGAACGGGUGAGUAACACGUGGGUGAUCUGCCCCAAACUUUGGGAUAAGCCUGGGAAACUGGGUCUAAUACCGAAUAUGACCGAUACUCGCAUGGGUGUUGGUGGAAAGCUCCGGCGGUUUGGGAUGGGCCCGCGGCCUAUCAGCUUGUUGGUGGGGUAAUGGCCUACCAAGGCGACGACGGGUAGCCGGCCUGAGAGGGCGACCGGCCACACGGGGACUGAGACAGGGCCCAGACUCCGACGGGGGGAAGCGGGGGGGAAUAUGGCACAGUGGGCGAAAGCCGGAUGCAGCGACGCCGGGUGGGGGAGGAGGGCCUUCGGGUUGUAAACCUUUUUCCCCAGGGACGAAGGGAAAGUGACGGUACCGGGAGAAGAAGCACCGGCCAACUACGU
This 463-nucleotide ribosomal RNA is filed under the name uncultured bacterium. RNAcentral's name for it is "partial 16S ribosomal RNA". It matches the Rfam family "Bacterial small subunit ribosomal RNA", at positions 28 to 506 of the family's 1533-position model. The record is from RNAcentral.